GCGGCGUGCUUAACACAUGCAAGUCGAACGAUGAAGCCCUUCGGGGUGGAUUAGUGGCGAACGGGUGAGUAACACGUGGGCAAUCUGCCCUUCACUCUGGGACAAGCCCUGGAAACGGGGUCUAAUACCGGAUAACACUCCUGCCUGCAUGGGUGGGGGUUAAAAGCUCCGGCGGUGAAGGAUGAGCCCGCGGCCUAUCAGCUUGUUGGUGAGGUAGUGGCUCACCAAGGCGACGACGGGUAGCCGGCCUGAGAGGGCGACCGGCCACACUGGGACUGAGACACGGCCCAGACUCCUACGGGAGGCAGCAGUGGGGAAUAUUGCACAAUGGGCGAAAGCCUGAUGCAGCGACGCCGCGUGAGGGAUGACGGCCUUCG
RNAcentral lists this ribosomal RNA (377 nucleotides) under Streptomyces acidiscabies. Its description in RNAcentral is "bacterial SSU rRNA". It matches the Rfam family "Bacterial small subunit ribosomal RNA", at positions 39 to 420 of the family's 1533-position model. The record is from RNAcentral. Lineage: Bacteria; Bacillati; Actinomycetota; Actinomycetes; Kitasatosporales; Streptomycetaceae.